This 253-nucleotide ribosomal RNA is filed under the name uncultured bacterium. RNAcentral's name for it is "partial 16S ribosomal RNA". It matches the Rfam family "Bacterial small subunit ribosomal RNA", at positions 524 to 776 of the family's 1533-position model. The record is from RNAcentral.
UACGAAGGGGGCUAGCGUUGCUCGGAAUUACUGGGCGUAAAGCGCACGUAGGCGGCUUCUUAAGUCGGUGGUGAAAUCCUGGAGCUCAACUCCAGAACUGCCUUCGAUACUGGGAAGCUCGAGUCCGGGAGAGGUGAGUGGAACUGCGAGUGUAGAGGUGAAAUUCGUAGAUAUUCGCAAGAACACCAGUGGCGAAGGCGGCCCCCUGGGUCGGCCCUGACGCUGAGGCGCGAAAGCGUGGGGAGCGAACGGG